RNAcentral lists this ribosomal RNA (1485 nucleotides) under Mycobacteroides abscessus subsp. bolletii. Its description in RNAcentral is "bacterial LSU rRNA". It matches the Rfam family "Bacterial large subunit ribosomal RNA", at positions 1401 to 2770 of the family's 2925-position model. The record is from RNAcentral. Lineage: Bacteria; Bacillati; Actinomycetota; Actinomycetes; Mycobacteriales; Mycobacteriaceae.
GCCGACAGGCGUAGUCGAUGGACAACGGGUUGAUAUUCCCGUACCCGUGUGUGCGCGCCCAUGAUGAAUCAUCGGUACUAACCACCCAAAAGGUUCUAGAUCAAUCUCUUCGGAGUGCGACGUGAACCCGCUGCGUGGGACCUUCGGUGGUAGUAGUCAAGCGAUGGGGUGACGCAGGAAGGUAGCUGUACCGGUUAGUGGUUAUACCGGAGCAAGCCCGUAGGACGACAUCUAGGCAAAUCCGGAUGUCAUACGUCUGAGAGGUGACGCAUAGCCGAUUGAGGCGAAUUCAGUGAUCCUAUGCUGCCAAGAAAAGCCUCUAGUGAGUUCACACACGGCCCGUACCCCAAACCAACACAGGUGGUCAGGUAGAGAAUACUAAGGCGUACGAGAUAACUAUGGUUAAGGAACUCGGCAAAAUACCCCCGUAACUUCGGGAGAAGGGGGACCUCGCUUGGUGACCGGACUUGCUCCGUGAGCUGAACGAGGUCGCAGAGACCAGUGAGAAGCGACUGUUUACUAAAAACACAGGUCCGUGCGAAGUCGCAAGACGAUGUAUACGGACUGACGCCUGCCCGGUGCUGGAAGGUUAAGAGGACCCGUUAACCCUUGGGUGAAGCGGAGAAUUUAAGCCCCAGUAAACGGCGGUGGUAACUAUAACCAUCCUAAGGUAGCGAAAUUCCUUGUCGGGUAAGUUCCGACCUGCACGAAUGGCGUAACGACUUCUCAACUGUCUCAACCAUAGACUCGGCGAAAUUGCACUACGAGUAAAGAUGCUCGUUACGCGCGGCAGGACGAAAAGACCCCGGGACCUUCACUAUAGCUUGGUAUUGGCGUUUGGUUCGGUUUGUGUAGGAUAGGUGGGAGACUGUGAAGCAGGCACGCCAGUGUUUGUGGAGUCAUCGUUGAAAUACCACUCUGAUCGUAUUGAACCUCUAACCUCGGGCCGUAUAUCCGGUCCAGGGACAGUGCCUGGUGGGUAGUUUAACUGGGGCGGUUGCCUCCCAAAAUGUAACGGAGGCGCCCAAAGGUUCCCUCAACCUGGACGGCAAUCAGGUGUUGAGUGCAAGUGCACAAGGGAGCUUGACUGCGAGACCUACAAGUCAAGCAGGGACGAAAGUCGGGACUAGUGAUCCGGCACCUCUGAGUGGAAGGGGUGUCGCUCAACGGAUAAAAGGUACCCCGGGGAUAACAGGCUGAUCUUCCCCAAGAGUCCAUAUCGACGGGAUGGUUUGGCACCUCGAUGUCGGCUCGUCGCAUCCUGGGGCUGGAGCAGGUCCCAAGGGUUGGGCUGUUCGCCCAUUAAAGCGGCACGCGAGCUGGGUUUAGAACGUCGUGAGACAGUUCGGUCUCUAUCCGCCGCGCGCGUCAGAAACUUGAGGAAACCUGUCCCUAGUACGAGAGGACCGGGACGGACGAACCUCUGGUGUACCAGUUGUUCCACCAGGAGCACGGCUGGAUAGCUACGUUCGGACAGGAUAACCG